GCAGAGCUGGUGGGAUCUGCCGAAUGGUAAGGGGAUGCGUAAGCGUGAACCUGAGAGAGUGCAUAUAUUUGGGUAGAGGCCGGGGAAUCAGCAUUCACUCUUUGCAGAGGGCAGAGGUAAUUUACAAAUGACUGGGGACCCUCAGGAGCCCGUCUUGACCCUGUGUUGCCUUCCUCUGGGGCCUCAGUCCUCUCUUCAGCCCAAGAUCCCCUAGAGAAGAGCCAGGACAUCUGGGGUCUCCCAGGAGCAGCCUGGUCCCCUGCAGUCCUUUUUGGGGCCUGGAGUUGAUACUAUGGGAGCCACAGAGCUGUGCUGGCCCUGGAAUCCUGGGAGCCCUGUUUGCCUCCGUCCCUGUCGGGGCAGCCCAGCUGGAGGUUUUUCCCCAUCCAUGUGGUGUGGGCCGGGUGCCCUGCCCCAGUGCUGGGCCUGAUGGGCACCUAGGGAGGGCAGCUGGGCUGGGCCCACCCUCAGCCACUUUGCCCAGCAGUGCCAUCACCCUGCUUACAGAUGGACAAGCCCAGGGCCCGGGGCUGGCUUGGGCCCACAGAGUGGCUGCUGGGGCUAGGGCUGGGCCCAUGCCUCCCUGACCUGGCUCCACCCAGCUCCUGGCAUUUCCUUCCCCUUCUCCCCCAGGAUGCCCAGCCCUUGGCUGGGGAAUCUCAUUACUCCCAACCUGUAGAUGCAGAAACUGAAGCUGCAAGAGGGGAGUGGCUGGAGACUGGGAAGCAACCCAGUGGCAAGGUGGGACAGAGUAUUGGAAACCUCAAGGGGCAGUACAUGUCCCAGGACUGGCCAAAGGCAUGCCUGGUGGAGAGAAGUUUCUGGAAUGUGAAGGAGAGUGCUGUGGAGACGGAGAUGCCUGGAGAGGAGCCACGACAUUCCCAAGGUCACCUUACACAGUCAUCUGCCAUCAUUUGCAGAUCACAUGUCAGCUUACUUAGCAAACCCAACAGAAUGGACAGGAAAACUUAAUGUUAUAAACACAUAAUUCUCCCCAGAUGGACAUAAUAAAUUCAAUGUGAUUCUAA
Non-coding RNA from Chlorocebus sabaeus (green monkey), 1028 nucleotides. NCBI's taxonomy places the organism in Eukaryota, Metazoa, Chordata, Mammalia, Primates, Cercopithecidae. The record is from RefSeq and is a predicted model, not a curated record.